Molecule: unclassified non-coding RNA, 441 nt
Filed under: uncultured Thelephoraceae
Lineage: Eukaryota; Fungi; Basidiomycota; Agaricomycetes; Thelephorales; Thelephoraceae
Description: sequence contains ITS2
Rfam family: 5.8S ribosomal RNA (bases 1-154)
Source: RNAcentral
AACUUUCAGCAACGGAUCUCUUGGCUCUCGCAUCGAUGAAGAACGCAGCGAAAUGCGAUAAGUAAUGUGAAUUGAAGAAUUCAGUGAAUCAUCGAAUCUUUGAACGCACCUUGCGCUCCUUGGUAUUCCGAGGAGCAUGCCUGUUUGAGUGUCAUGAAAUUCUCAACUGCCUUUUAGCAUUUAUGUUAAGGGUGAAGUUGGAGUUGGAGGAGAAUUGCUGGGGGAACUGAGGUGUCUUGUUUGCUCCUCUUGAAUGGAUGAGCUUUUCUGAUGGGAUCCAUAGUUCAGUAACACUAAUGUGAUAAUUAUCUACGUUAGAUGUGAAGAGGCUCCUACAGAAAAGGUGUAUCUUGGGGAUAACAAACCCUUGACUUUGACAAAUCUGACCUCAAAUCAGGUAGGACUACCCGCUGAACUUAAGCAUAUCAAUAAGCGGAGGCU